AUACUUACCUGGCAGGGGAGAUACCAUGAUCAAGAACGAAGGUUGGUUCAACCAGGCGAGGCUAAACCCUGCAUCCGGUUUGCUGACCUCUGCGAAUUCCCCAAAUGUGGGAAAUCUCGACGCAUAAUUUGUUGGUGAGUGGGGGACUGCGUGCGCGCCUCUCCCCU
Small nuclear RNA from Etheostoma spectabile (orangethroat darter), 167 nucleotides. RefSeq annotates it as U1 spliceosomal RNA. The record is from RefSeq and is a predicted model, not a curated record. NCBI's taxonomy places the organism in Eukaryota, Metazoa, Chordata, Actinopteri, Perciformes, Percidae. The transcript has a single exon.